CGUUAGAAAACUAGCAGACAAUUGCACUGGUUUGCAAGGAUUCUUGAUUUUCAAUGCUGUCGGUGCUGGUACUGGAUCUGGUUUGGGCUCCUUGCUGUUGGAAAAGGCUUUCGGUUGAUUAUGGAAAAAAAUCAGAGCUUGGUUUUACCAUCUGUCCUUCACCUCAGAUCAUCUCCUCCUUGACCACUUCGCUUGGGUUUGAUGGCACUAUCAAUGUUGAUAUAACAGAAUUCCAAACAAACCUUGUACCAUAUCCUAGGAUCCGUUCCAUGCUUUCCUCUUAUGCGCCCGCUAUCUCUGCUGCGAAAGCAUACCAUGAACAGCUCUCGGUUCCUGAAAUCACAAAUGCUGUCUUUGAGCCCUCGAGUAUGUUGGCAAAGUGUGACACGAGACGUGGGAAGUGCAUGGCCUGUUGUUUGAUGUAUAGUGGGGAUGUUGUGCCCAAGGAUGUUAAAGCAGCAAUUGAAACUAUUAAAACCAAGUGGACUGUCCAAUUCGUGGACUGGAGCCAACGCAGAGGCAGCUGGAAUUGAGGUUGGAAGCUGGAAUUGAGGCUGGAAGCUGGGAAUCUGGGAAGGAGCUGACUGUGUAUACCUGUGGGACUGAUAUGCAAGAAUAAGGACUGAUACGCAAAAGAUUGGGGCUAGCAUGCAAAGUCUCAAAGUUUGAGGGCUAUAAUACUUGUUGACUGUUUGUUUGUUAGUUCUGUUAGAGAUUUCACAAGUGUGCACGUGCACAGUUAGGAG
Asparagus officinalis (garden asparagus) is the source of this 746-nucleotide RNA transcript. It is a transcript of the gene named tubulin alpha-2 chain-like, with no coding region annotated. The record is from RefSeq and is a predicted model, not a curated record. The transcript is spliced from 4 exons. Lineage: Eukaryota; Viridiplantae; Streptophyta; Magnoliopsida; Asparagales; Asparagaceae.